This 1237-nucleotide long non-coding RNA is filed under the name Cricetulus griseus (Chinese hamster). RNAcentral describes it as "lncRNA (ENSCGRG00015031092.1)". Lineage: Eukaryota; Metazoa; Chordata; Mammalia; Rodentia; Cricetidae. The record is from RNAcentral.
AUUUCCCCCAUCAUGACAGCUGCUUUUCAUGGCUCCCACUGUACAGUGUUCUACUGUUCUGUGGUGUGGCUAUUUCUGUUGGAAGUUAGUUGCCUCUAUUCAUUGAAGCUACUGAAAGUUUUCUUCACUUGACUACAGUAUGGAUAUGGAGCAUCUGUAACUGUCCUUCCAAGAAGUCUUUCUGGCAAGCAUCAGAUGACUUAACCAUUUGCUCCCUUUACAUUGUAGUUUCUUUUCAUCUUCAUUUUUCCACUGAUAUGUAAAGCUGGAUAGCAUCUAAGACUGCAGUAGACUAUGAGAGGAAGAAGAAGAGGAAGGGCUGCUCAGCUGUUGUGAUACCCAGAUGGGGCUGCUUACACCUGCUUCUGCUGAACCAGGCUGCUCAACCAAGCCAGGUGUAAACCAGUGUUCUGUAAAUGAUCAUCUAAAAUUGGUGUUCCAUCAUCGUGGGGGAAGAGCACAUUUGGAGGUGUUCUUCAGUCCGACAAAUUUCUCCAUUCAUUAUCUGGAUGAAUAUUACUGAAUCUUCACAAUUGGGCUAGACCAAGAUUGUGGAUACCUCUUGGUGGAUACCUUCAUUGAGGGAACUGACACAUGAGCAUCCUCAAGGAAGGAAGGAACAAUCAAGUGUUUAAUUCUGAAGAACUCAUCACUGGAUGUCUCCAGAGAGGACUCAGAAAACCAAUGGAAGUGAGACAAACUGAAGUGUGGUUGGAAACUAGGCUGGGUAGCAGAGACAGUGUCCAAGCAUCUGGAUAAAUGGAUACAGGAGAUGAGAGACACUAUAAUAUAACAAUUCCACUAGAUGAUAAUAGACUAGUUGAAAGUGAAAGGAACUAUGUAUAAACUAACUUCGUUGUGAUGAAAACUGUUGUGGUGCUUUUAGAGACAGAGAGAAAGGUAUCUGGGCUGAGGUUCCCAGGGUGGUCUAUGGCCAGGGAUGUGCUAAUAAGCAUGGCUGAUGGCUUGUCACCCAUGUACAUACAGAGAACACUAAUUGAUUCAGUGGGUUUAACAUUAAAAGGGAGAGAACAUGAGAUUGGUAAGGGAAUGGAGGAUACUUGGGAGGAACUGAAGGGUAAUGGGCAGUAUAUAUGAUCAAAUACAUUAUAGAUAUGUUUGAAAUUCCCAAUGAAUAAUAAUAAACAAUUUCUAUAGAUAAUCUAGAGGCAAUUAUAGCAAGAGCCAAUGAUAUGCAGUCUUAAUUCAAAGACAAUACACUAUAUUUCUAAGUAGC